GGGCUUGUAGUUCAGAGGAUUAGAGCACGUGGUUACGAACUAUGGUGUCAGGGGUUGGAAUCCCUCCUUGCCCA
Gossypium arboreum is the source of this 74-nucleotide transfer RNA. It matches the Rfam family "tRNA". From Rfam's summary of the family: Transfer RNA (tRNA) molecules are approximately 80 nucleotides in length. Their secondary structure includes four short double-helical elements and three loops (D, anti-codon, and T loops). NCBI's taxonomy places the organism in Eukaryota, Viridiplantae, Streptophyta, Magnoliopsida, Malvales, Malvaceae. The record is from Rfam.